AUGGCGGCGGUGCUUCGACACGCGGCGAGGAUGAUGCUCGGCAAUCGCGCUGCCCUCCAGCAGGGGCGACAAGCCACCUCUUCUUCUGCUGCGGCGGAGGGGCGACAUCGAUUCAUCGACACGUGCGAGGUUGCUGCCAAGUGUCAUCCGGACUAUCUACGUUGGGCUGCUAUGAGCAGAGAGGAGCAGCUGGAGGCAUUGCUCUGCGUCGACCCAUUGACGGUGCCGGAAAACAUCCGAAAGACAGUGGAAGAGAGGAACAAACUUUGUAUCCUAAUCCUGGACAAGUACCCGCACAUGAUCCGGCACGUCGGUCGUCUUCCUGACCAACCUUGCUUAGCAUCGCGCGCACUCUUUAUAGUGUCUACGCUGGCUUCGGUGAUCCUCCUUCAAAAUAAAUUGGGCCGGAAGGGAAGUACAGAAGAGACUGAUCCAUCAAUUAUACAUGGUGACAGUGCUGCAAAGAGUUGA
Molecule: ribosomal RNA, 471 nt
Filed under: Triticum aestivum (bread wheat)
Lineage: Eukaryota; Viridiplantae; Streptophyta; Magnoliopsida; Poales; Poaceae
Description: partial small subunit ribosomal RNA
Source: RNAcentral